GAUGAAGAACGCAGCGAAAUGCGAUAAGUAGUGUGAAUUGCAGAAUUCAGUGAAUCAUCGAAUCUUUGAACGCACAUUGCGCCCCUUGGUAUUCCAUGGGGCAUGCCUGUUCGAGCGUCAUUUGUACCCUCAAGCUCUGCUUGGUGUUGGGUGUUUGUCUCGCGUUGCGCGUAGACUCGCCUUAAAGCGAUUGGCAGCCGGCAUAUUGGCCUUGGAGCGCAGCACAUUUUGCGCAUCAAACCAAGAAUGUUGGCGUCCAACAAGCCAUACAUUUGCUCUUGACCUCGGAUCAGGUAGGGAUACCCGCUGAACUUAAGCAUAUCAAUAAGCGGAGGA
RNAcentral lists this unclassified non-coding RNA (336 nucleotides) under soil metagenome. Its description in RNAcentral is "partial contains 5.8S ribosomal RNA, internal transcribed spacer 2, and large subunit ribosomal RNA". The stretch from base 1 to 120 matches the Rfam family "5.8S ribosomal RNA", at positions 35 to 154 of the family's 154-position model. The record is from RNAcentral.